Arachis ipaensis is the source of this 1434-nucleotide non-coding RNA. The record is from RefSeq and is a predicted model, not a curated record. Lineage: Eukaryota; Viridiplantae; Streptophyta; Magnoliopsida; Fabales; Fabaceae.
AUAUGUGACCACAAACCUUGCUCCACUGUUACCAUUCAUCCACCUCUUCCUUCCCCCUCUUCUUUUCCCUUUUCAUCUCUCGCCAUUAAUGAGAUCUAUCUCCGAUCCCCCGAGCUCCCUUAGUUUAGUUAUUUUCUUUUGAGUACUUGUAUUCGAUCCUCAGCUCCGAAGGCUGCCUUUGAAUUCCAUGAAUUUCUUUCAUGACUAUACUUUUCUGUCUCCGAUCUGUUUUUCUUUUGUUGAAGAUCGAUGAACAAUAACUGGGGGGCCUAGCAAACACAACACACACUCCUAACCACUCCCAGCAAGCCACGUCAGCAUCUCCCUCGUGGCCUUGCCGCUGGUAAAAAUUUACUCAUCUCAUCAAGCAUAUAAAGAGUGUUAGGAGACGAGCUUCCUUGUGAUUGGUCUUUACUCUCUACUCUUUCUGAGUAAUCUAUACAUGAAGUUAUGCUCGCUGCAGCUUCUUCUACUUCGUAUGCACGUGUUUAAUUAGCAGGAAGUUGCAUGGGGAUGAAGAAAUCAAAGUAAAAGCAGUCGUUGUUUGCGGAUGUAGCAUCAUCAAGAUUCACAUGCUGCAACAAGUGCUAGCUUAUGAGAAUCUUGAUGAUGCUGCAUCGGCCAUAAACGACUUUAGUAGUGGGUAGGAGGUGGGAACUGGUGGAACAACAUCUUCACACACGAGAUCUAGAGGCACCAUCACCACAGAAAUUAAAUAUAUUUUAGGUAGUAAUGGACAUAUAUUCUUCCAAGUGGUUGGAUAUGCAUCUGGGAAUUAUAAGAUAUCACUGAAAAAUUGGAAGUUGGAUAUGCAAAUUAUCAAAGGGCAUACACUAUUGUCUGAUUUCUAUGAUCAACUAUCUUUUGCUCAAAGGUGGACCAACACCUAUAGAUGCUGCAACGUUGAACCAUUGUUAAGGAAUAUUUUCAACUAAAUUUGGGGAGUCUAUACUUCCACCUCUCUAACCAUGCAUCUCCUACAUGCUGGUUCACAUGAAUCUUCUGUAAGUACUAAUUUCAUAUAUGUGUAUAUAAAUUGAGUUAAGCUAUAUUCUUAUGAAUUAUGAUGAUAUCUCUACAUAUAUUUCCUUGCCUUUUAAUAGUAAUACAUAAAAACUUAAACUAAAAAGUAAUAAGUGUAUGCUUUUUUAUUAGUUUGGCAUACAAAUGCACUUCAUACUCUUCUGUUUUAUAACUAGUAAUUAAAUAUAUGAUAUAAGAAACUGAGUUAAGUGUAUUUAGAAUAUUAUUUGUGCACUUCUUUAGCUGUACAAUUUAUUCAUCGGUACUAAUAAUUUGAUGCAUUUUUAGGUUAUGACUCCUGUAUCGGUAUCUUCAUAAACAGUGAGAAUUGAAACAAUACACAGUAGUUAGCAUCAGUGUCUUAAAAUCGGCUUUAUAAGUGCUUUAGAAGUAACAUUUUUCUGUUCAUCU